Molecule: long non-coding RNA, 3876 nt
Filed under: Homo sapiens (human)
Lineage: Eukaryota; Metazoa; Chordata; Mammalia; Primates; Hominidae
Description: non-protein coding MIR4527HG:19
Source: RNAcentral
AGUUGCUGGGGGUCCCUAGGCCGGGCCCCAGGACAUCUAGGACAUGCCGGGGGCUGUUUGCUACGGCUUCAUCCCGGAGCUCCUGCUCGGGGUUGCCGGCUGCCUCUGCUGGCGUCCCUCUUCCCUUCCUUUGCGUAAGCGGCAACUCCUCCAGGAAGCCAGGGGAAGGACGGGAUUUCCUCUCCACGUAGGGUAGUAGAUCGCAUAGCCCAGCCGGAUCGCCCAGCAGGAGUGCAGGGCGCGCGUCGGGGUGUCUCCGGCUUGUGGGUGUGCGGUUCGAAACCUUAGCUGGGGUGGGGGAAGGGAUGUCUUUAACCUUCUGUCUACCGUCCCCCUCUUCCCUCUCUCAGCCUAGAGGCAGGGGAUGCUGCGGAAUCAGACUGGGUGCACCAAGGCGGAGGGCCAUGCCGGGCUUCGCCCUUCCUGGGUGUCCCGGAGUCCGUUCCGGAGAAACCCUGGCAUUGCCAGAACUGGGUCCCCGCACUCACUCCUCCAUAAUUCGCGGCGGAUCAGCGGGAGGAGGGCAGAGGGCGGGGGCGAGGCAGCUUCCUGGCGGGUGUGGCGCAAAGUGUGCGGGGUGUGGCGCAAAGUGCGCGGACCCGGGUCCUGGACCGAAGAUUUAGCCCAGGGUUUCGUGUGUGUUGCUCCCUGUUGCUUUCUACGGGGUCUGCGCUGGCCUCCUCCUCGGGCGACUGGGCCCUGAGGCAACAGCGCCUUCUCGAGCCCCGAGGAUUGACCGCCCCGAGCCUGCUUGGAGCAGGGCCUCUCUCCAGCGCGGUGUGAUGAAAGAAAAAAACCAUUCUUCCAGGAGAGGCUCCUCCAAGCAAACUUCCCCUUACAUCUCUUACCAGAACUGGGUCACAUGCUCCCAUCUAAAACAACCACUGGCCAUUAGAAAUGGUGUUACCAUGCCUGUCUUGGACCAAUCACAUUUGAUCCUCUGAGGAUAGAGACAUGUUGCCACCUGAACAACUGUGGGGUGCUGUACUCCUGGCAAGCAGGGAGAAUGGCUGUGGCUAGGCAACUGACAGCAUCUACCACAAAUAUGUUACUCAGAAGAAGAAUCGAGGAUGGCCAUAAUUUUUAUUUAAAGAUUUCUAUUUUACAGAGGCAUAUCUGAUUAAGGGACAUUUAAACUUCCCUGUUAAACUUAUCAAGACAAAAAGACAAGGCAUCUUGCCACAUUUCUUAAAUAUUCUCUGCAGUCUCUCUUGACCUUUUCCCAGCUGUGCUGUAAACAUAAAGAUAAUAACAUAUCUGAAUAACAUUUUAUGGUGCACAGAUAAUUUUCACAUACAUUAUCCAUUUGACCCUCACCAUAACUGUGUGGGGUAGGUAAGGUACGAUUGUACUUUUCAUUAAUUUUUUUUUUUUUGAGACACAGUCUCGUUCUGUCACCCAGGCUAGAGUGCAGUGGUGCGAUCUGGGCUCACUGCAACCUCCACCUCCCAGGUUCAAGUGAUUCUCCUGCCUCAGCCUCCAAGUAGCUGGGAUUACAGGCAAGUGCCACCAUGCCUGGCUAGUUUUUGUAAUUUUUUAGUAGAGACAGGGUUUCACCAUGUUGGCCAGGCUGGUCUAGAACUCCUGACCUCAGGUGAUCCACGUGCCUCGGCCUCCCAAAGUGCUGGGGUUACAGGCAUGAGCCACUGCUCCUGGCCACUUUUCAUUAAUUUUUAUUGGACUUAGGAUUAGAAGGAUGAGCAAAUCCUACUACUUAGUGCGUGGAAUACUGGCAUCUAUUGUUUUUGCUUGGCUCCUCUCUUGUUUUAAUAAUUAACUAAUCGAUCCAUUCUCUUUUAUUGCCAUCUCCCACUCACACUUUUUCCUCCACAUAGGCAAUCAUUCUAAAUAUGUCCAAUGUUUAUCUUAUUUGUAUGCGUAUUUAUAAAGUGAAUAUUUUGUUUAGUGUGUAUGCAGUUUCGUUUGCAUAAAUUGUAAUAUUCUGUGAAUCUCAUUCUGUUUUGUACUUUUUUCAUUCUGCUCUGUUUUUAGAAGUGAUCCAUGUUGCUAUGUGUAUCUACUCCAUUGCCUUUAAAUGCUGCAUAAUACUCCACGGUGUUUGUCGAUCAUGUUUUACUCAUCUUUGCCCCCUAGUGGAAACCAUGAUGGCCUCCAACUCUGCACACAAAUAGUUUCAAACAAGAACCGCUGGUGAAAUGUGACUGCUGAUGGACCUGGGUGGGAAUUUCUCUGGGAUGCCGACUAAAAAGCAUGGUGGCUGGGUCAUAAAAUGCACACUUAAUUUGAAUAAGUGCCACCCAGUGGCUCUCCACAAAGCCUGCACUAGUCCAUUCUACUAGAAAUUAUUCACAUUUAACUGGAAACUGGGUCUUGGAGAUGUUAAGUAACUUGCUCAAGCUCACAUAAGGAGUAAAAGUGAAUUAGGACAUCCAGGACCCAAAUCCAGGCCUUGUAACUUCAGGUCAAUUUUAUUUUCCAGGGCACCACCCUCUAAGUCUCUGGAUCAUAAUAUGGAGCACUAAUAAAAAGAUUUCUUGAGGCUUUUGUUAUUUACAUAAUGAAUUUCAGAAAUGGCUUACUGGUGCUACUGGCAAGUUGCAGGCAGAAGAAAGAAUGAAAGCGAAUGGGCAUCUCAUGUUCUAUUCUCUGAUUCAACCUGUUUUGGGUCCCUUUUGACUGCUUUACCACAGUUGCUAUUACAUUAUUUUGGGAAGUAUUUAAAAAAGAAGAGAAAGUGCUGGAUAUCUGAACUCCUUUCCUCCAGUCUGCCAUGGGCCAAAAUGUAGUACCACCAUGCCUGACUAGAAAGUAAAAGAGGAAUCAUAGAAUCAGAUAGUGUUAUAACCAGAAUGGGCCUUACAGACCAUUUAGUCUAGUCCUCCCAUUUUAUAGAUGAGAAAAUGGAGGCCCAGAGAGAGGAAGACAGUUGCCUGAGGUCACACAGCUGGAAGGAGAGCAGGAUGGGCACCCAGGCUUUCUGAAAACCAGUCUCUUUGAUGCAGGUGAACCCCCACAUUGGGGCUCAGCUCAAGAGGGUUCUUAGCUUUGCUCAGGAAGGAAUUCAAGAGUGAGCUGACAGUUAAAGAAAGCAAGUUUUUAGAGCAAUAGUGUACAGCAAAAUGGCUGCUCCACAGACAGAGCAGGGCCAUCCCAUAGGCAGAGUAGCACUUGUGCAUUGCUGGCUAGCUCUAUUUAUAGCUGCUCCUAAUUAUAUGCUAAAUAAGCGGUGGGUUAUUCACAGAUUUUCUAGAAAAGGUGUGGGGAAUUUCCAGAACUGAUGGUUCCUUCCUCUUUAAACCAUGUAAGGUAACUUCUGGGUUUUGCCAUGACAUCAACUGUCAUGGUGCUGGUGGGAAGUGUUUUACAGCAUGCAAAUGUAUUAUAAUUCCUAGUCCUAACUGCUUUUGGCUGGUUCCUUUGCUACAUCCUGUUUUGAUCAGCAGUGUCAUGAAAACAAGUCCUGUUCAUCUCCUACCUCUCCUUGCCCUUUCCACUUUUCUGCACACAGCAACUUUCACCUGCGCACCCAGGAAUCCACACUUUAAGUCUUAACAACCUGAGGUGUUGUUGAGAAAAAACUACAAACAGUGGUGCGCUGGCAAAUCUUUAACAAUCACCUGGGGUGGGGUGGGGUGUGGAUAAACAAGCCUUAUUUGUAGCAUAUGGCCAAUUUCAAGCUGCCAAAGUGCUGUCACUGAACGUGAAGUAGUGGGAGCAGGGCAGCAGAGGGCCACCAAUCAGAGGCAUUUCCACCAAACAGAUGCAAUUGGCAUAAGUAACUGCAAGGGCACGGACAACCGCAAGGUCUGCUAAAAGGAUUAGGAAGUGAUGAGUUUUGAGUGUUUAUUACUUUUGGUUUUAGUGUAACUUAUUUGUAAGCUUACAUAAUUUAAUGUCUAAUAAGGGCAAUGUUUA